GAUCCCGUAGCUCAGUUGGCAGAGCAUCUGACUUUUAAUCAGAGGGUCCCAGGUUCGAGCCCUGGCGGGAUCA
This 73-nucleotide transfer RNA is filed under the name bacterium. RNAcentral's name for it is "tRNA-Lys". It matches the Rfam family "tRNA". From Rfam's summary of the family: Transfer RNA (tRNA) molecules are approximately 80 nucleotides in length. Their secondary structure includes four short double-helical elements and three loops (D, anti-codon, and T loops). Further hydrogen bonds mediate the characteristic L-shaped molecular structure. tRNAs have two regions of fundamental functional importance: the anti-codon, which is responsible for specific mRNA codon recognition, and the 3' end, to which the tRNAs corresponding amino acid is attached (by aminoacyl-tRNA synthetases). tRNAs cope with the degeneracy of the genetic code in two manners: having more than one tRNA (with a specific anti-codon) for a particular amino acid; and 'wobble' base-pairing, i.e. permitting non-standard base-pairing at the 3rd anti-codon position. RNAcentral also lists the same sequence under 3 other names. The record is from RNAcentral.